GACGUCGAAUAUCGACGUCAUAAACACCAAAGUUGAUCGUGUUUAUAACGUCGACGUCAUAAACACCAAAGUUGAUCGUGUUUAUGACGUCGAAUAUCGACGUCAUAAACACCUAAGUUGAUCGUGUUUAUGACAUCGAAUAUCGACGUCAAAAACAUCUAUGUUGAUCGGGUUUAUGACGUCGAAUAUCGAAGUCAUAAACAUCUAAGUUGAUCGUGUUUAUGACGUCGAAUAUCGACGUCAUAAACACCAAAGUUGAUCGUCUUUAUAACGUGGACGUCAUAAACACCAAAGUUGAUAGUGUUUAUGACGUCGAACAUCGACGUC
Paramuricea clavata is the source of this 327-nucleotide non-coding RNA. NCBI's taxonomy places the organism in Eukaryota, Metazoa, Cnidaria, Anthozoa, Malacalcyonacea, Plexauridae. The record is from the annotation of a GenBank genome assembly.